UUACGGCCAUAUCGCGUUGAAACACUGGUUCUCGUACGACCAGCGAAGUUAAGCAACGUCGAGCCUAGUCAAUAGCUAGGUGGGUAACCAUUUCGAAAUACCAACAACUG
Molecule: non-coding RNA, 110 nt
Organism: Acanthosepion pharaonis
Lineage: Eukaryota; Metazoa; Mollusca; Cephalopoda; Sepiida; Sepiidae
Source: the annotation of a GenBank genome assembly